This 72-nucleotide transfer RNA is filed under the name Heterocephalus glaber (naked mole-rat). It matches the Rfam family "tRNA". From Rfam's summary of the family: Transfer RNA (tRNA) molecules are approximately 80 nucleotides in length. The record is from Rfam by way of RNAcentral. Lineage: Eukaryota; Metazoa; Chordata; Mammalia; Rodentia; Bathyergidae.
UUGGGUGUAGCUCAGUGGUAGAGUGUAUGCUUAGCAUACUCGGGGCCCUGAGUUUGAUCCCCAGGACCCAAA